GCAAACUUGGUCAUUUAGAGGAAGUAAAAGUCGUAACAAGGUCUCCGUUGGUGAACCAGCGGAGGGAUCAUUACAGGGUCUGACGACUGCCCAAACCAAACCGUGAACUAUUUUCAUACUCGAAUGCUUUGGCAGGCCGCUCGCUGGGGGAGCCCUGGACCGUCGCGAGGCGGUUGGCCUGCCGAAGGCAUGCAAAUUUAAAAUCAUUGAACAAUUUUCUGAUAAAUAUUAUCUCCUUCGGGAGCAAAAAUAUCACAACUCAUAACAAUGGAUCUCUUGGCUCUGGCAUCGAUGAAGAACGCAGC
This 305-nucleotide unclassified non-coding RNA is filed under the name uncultured fungus. Its description in RNAcentral is "partial contains small subunit ribosomal RNA, internal transcribed spacer 1, and 5.8S ribosomal RNA". The stretch from base 1 to 73 matches the Rfam family "Eukaryotic small subunit ribosomal RNA", at positions 1759 to 1831 of the family's 1831-position model. The record is from RNAcentral. Lineage: Eukaryota; Fungi.